CAGUCGCCGCGGUAAAACGAAGGGUGCAAGCGUUAAUCGGAAUUACUGGGCGUAAAGCGUGCGUAGGCGGUGAGUUAAGUCUGCUGUGAAAUCCCCGGGCUCAACCUGGGAAUGGCAGUGGAUACUGGCUCGCUAGAGUGUGUCAGAGGAUGGUGGAAUUCCCGGUGUAGCGGUGAAAUGCGUAGAGAUCGGGAGGAACAUCAGUGGCGAAGGCGGCCAUCUGGGACAACACUGACGCUGAGGCACGAAAGCGUGGGGAGCAAACAGGAUUAGAUACCCGGGUAGUCCCUGUCUCUUAUCC
RNAcentral lists this ribosomal RNA (301 nucleotides) under uncultured bacterium. RNAcentral describes it as "partial 16S ribosomal RNA". It matches the Rfam family "Bacterial small subunit ribosomal RNA", at positions 509 to 809 of the family's 1533-position model. The record is from RNAcentral.